GGAAGAACAUUGCUUGGGAAAGUGACCGUGAACAUAAAUUUGGAAAGCACGUAUAUCCUUUUAACUUCCAAAAUGGAACCUUGGUUGGUGGUGGAAAUCUGGAUCCAAAUAUUCCUUUGAGUGAUCAUGAAGAUCUAAUUGUCUGGAUGCGCACUGCUGCUCUUCCAAGCUUCAGAAAGUUAUACGGUAGAAUUGAAGAAGAUUUGCAUGCUG
Molecule: unclassified non-coding RNA, 213 nt
Filed under: Hevea brasiliensis (rubber tree)
Lineage: Eukaryota; Viridiplantae; Streptophyta; Magnoliopsida; Malpighiales; Euphorbiaceae
Source: RNAcentral